This 338-nucleotide unclassified non-coding RNA is filed under the name soil metagenome. Its description in RNAcentral is "partial contains 5.8S ribosomal RNA, internal transcribed spacer 2, and large subunit ribosomal RNA". The stretch from base 1 to 120 matches the Rfam family "5.8S ribosomal RNA", at positions 35 to 154 of the family's 154-position model. The record is from RNAcentral.
GAUGAAGAACGUAGCGAAAUGCGAUAAGUAAUGUGAAUUGCAGAAUUCAGUGAAUCAUCGAAUCUUUGAACGCACAUUGCGCCCGGCAGUACUCUGCCGGGCAUGCCUGUUCGAGCGUCAUUUCAACCCUCAAGCCCUGCUUGGUGUUGGGGCCCCACGGCUGCCGUGGGCCCUGAAAGGAAGUGGCGGGCCCGCUACAACUCCGAGCGUAGUAAUUCAUUAUCUCGCUUAGGGCGUUGGGCGGCGCUCCAGCCGUUAAAGAACCAUCUUUAACUCAAGGUUGACCUCGGAUCAGGUAGGAAUACCCGCUGAACUUAAGCAUAUCAAUAAGCGGAGGA